Salvia splendens (bonfire salvia) is the source of this 757-nucleotide long non-coding RNA. RefSeq lists it as uncharacterized. The transcript is spliced from 2 exons. The record is from RefSeq and is a predicted model, not a curated record. NCBI's taxonomy places the organism in Eukaryota, Viridiplantae, Streptophyta, Magnoliopsida, Lamiales, Lamiaceae.
UUUAAUUAUUUCCCCACCUUAUAUCUCCAACUACAAAUUAAAGCCCAACAAUUAAAUGGAGUCCAUCUUUAAUAAUUUACCCAUGUCAACUAAUGAAGCCCAACUAUCCAAAACAUCUUAUUUAAAUUAAAGAGGCCCAAACAUCAAAUUCUAAAUAAUGAGGCCCAAUUCCAAUUAAUUAGAAAAGCCCAAAAACAAGUGUACUUCCCCCCACGUCUUCUCUUCUCUUCUCUUCUCUUCUCUUCUCUUCUCUUCCCUUCUCUUCUCUUCUCUUCCCUCUCGCCGGCUGGAAUGUCACCCAAAUCUCCCGUCGGCUUCUUCCGUUCGCCUCACCCACCGCCGCCGGCCGCUGCUGUCACGACGGUCCGCGCAGCCGCCAGCCGCUGCCGUCGCUGCUGCCCGUUGUUGCUGCCUUCGUCGCCGGGAGGAGCUGCUGCUGCCCUCGUCGCCGGGAGGAGCUGCUGCUGCCGCCAGCCGCUGCCUUCGUCGCCGGUUCGCGCAGCUACCCGAACUCGCCCCGAACAGCCCCGAAUCAAGACCGCGCAGCCCCGAUUUCCUCCCCGAAGAUCACGGAGGGUGAAUAUCUCAUCACGGAGCAGGAAAUAUCUGUGUAAAAUCUUUAAUUAAGAUUAGAAUUAAAAAUAUUUUAUUUUAAUUAGUUUAGCUUAAUUCACAGCCCAUUGUAUUUUAUUUUAAAUUGUGCAGUACACAAUUUAUUAAUCACGGACUGGACUAUUAUAUUAUUUAUUUUAUUUAU